CGGGUGGCAGCAGUGGGGAAUAUUGGGCAAUGGAGGAAACUCUGACCCAGCGACGCCGCGUGCGGGAUGAAGGCCUUCGGGUUGUAAACCGCUUUCAGCAGGGAAGAAGCGAAAGUGACGGUACCUGCAGAAGAAGCACCGGCUAACUAUGUGCCAGCAGCCGCGGUAAUACAUAGGGUGCAAGCGUUGUCCGGAAUUAUUGGGCGUAAAGAGCUCGUAGGUGGUUCGUCACGUCGGAUGUGAAAAUCUGGGGCUUAACCCCAGACCUGCAUUCGAUACGGUCGGACUGGAGUGUGGUAGGGGAGACUGGAAUUCCUGGUGUAGCGGUGGAAUGCGCAGAUAUCAGGAGGAACACCAAUGGCGAAGGCAGGUCUCUGGGCCAUUACUGACACUGAGGAGCGAAAGCGUGGGGAGCGAACAGGAUUAGAUACCCCCGU
Molecule: ribosomal RNA, 437 nt
Filed under: uncultured Actinomycetales bacterium
Lineage: Bacteria; Bacillati; Actinomycetota; Actinomycetes; Actinomycetales
Description: bacterial SSU rRNA
Rfam family: Bacterial small subunit ribosomal RNA
Source: RNAcentral